AUUGAACGCUGGCGGCAGGCUUAACACAUGCGAGUCGAGCGGAGAUGAGGUGCUUGCACCUUAUCUUAGCGGCGGACGGGUGAGUAAUGCUUAGGAAUCUGCCUAUUAGGGGGGGACAACAUUCCGAAAGGAAUGCUAAUACCGCAUACGUCCUACGGGAGAAAGCAGGGGAUCUUCGGACCUUGCGCUAAUAGAUGAGCCUAAGUCGGAUUAGCUAGUUGGUGGGGUAAAGGCCUACCAAGGCGACGAUCUGUAGCGGGUCUGAGAGGAUGAUCCGCCACACUGGGACUGAGACACGGCCCAGACUCCUACGGGAGGCAGCAGUGGGGAAUAUUGGACAAUGGGGGAAACCCUGAUCCAGCCAUGCCGCGUGUGUGAAGAAGGCCUUAUGGUUGUAAAGCACUUUAAGCGAGGAGGAGGCUACUGAGACUAAUACUCUUGGAUAGUGGACGUUACUCGCAGAAUAAGCACCGGCUAACUCUGUGCCAGCCGCCGCCGUAA
This 501-nucleotide ribosomal RNA is filed under the name uncultured bacterium. RNAcentral's name for it is "partial 16S ribosomal RNA". It matches the Rfam family "Bacterial small subunit ribosomal RNA", at positions 30 to 523 of the family's 1533-position model. The record is from RNAcentral.